GUUUACAUAGUUUAAAUAAAACAUUACAUUUUCAUUGUAAAGUUAGAAAAUUUUCUUGUAAAUA
Molecule: transfer RNA, 64 nt
Filed under: Trachylophus sinensis
Lineage: Eukaryota; Metazoa; Arthropoda; Insecta; Coleoptera; Cerambycidae
Description: tRNA-Glu
Rfam family: tRNA
About the family: Transfer RNA (tRNA) molecules are approximately 80 nucleotides in length. Their secondary structure includes four short double-helical elements and three loops (D, anti-codon, and T loops). Further hydrogen bonds mediate the characteristic L-shaped molecular structure. tRNAs have two regions of fundamental functional importance: the anti-codon, which is responsible for specific mRNA codon recognition, and the 3' end, to which the tRNAs corresponding amino acid is attached (by aminoacyl-tRNA synthetases). tRNAs cope with the degeneracy of the genetic code in two manners: having more than one tRNA (with a specific anti-codon) for a particular amino acid; and 'wobble' base-pairing, i.e. permitting non-standard base-pairing at the 3rd anti-codon position.
Source: RNAcentral